RNAcentral lists this ribosomal RNA (269 nucleotides) under uncultured Planctomycetales bacterium. RNAcentral's name for it is "partial 16S ribosomal RNA". It matches the Rfam family "Bacterial small subunit ribosomal RNA", at positions 567 to 832 of the family's 1533-position model. Lineage: Bacteria; Pseudomonadati; Planctomycetota; Planctomycetia; Planctomycetales. The record is from RNAcentral.
AUGCACGUAGGUGGGUUUGUAAGCCAGAUGUGAAAGCCUCCUGUUCAACGGGAGGAUUGCAUCUGAAACUACUGAUCUUGAGUGUAGGAGGGGAGAAUGGAACUUCUGGUGGAGCGGUGAAAUGCGUAGAUAUCAGAAGGAACGCCGGCGGCGAAAGCGAUUCUCUGGCCUAUUACUGACACUCAGUGUGCGAAAGCUAGGGGAGCAAACGGGAUUAGAUACCCCGGUAGUCCUAGCCGUAAACGAUGGGCACUAAGUAGAGGGGUUUU